Molecule: non-coding RNA, 220 nt
Organism: Prunus avium (sweet cherry)
Lineage: Eukaryota; Viridiplantae; Streptophyta; Magnoliopsida; Rosales; Rosaceae
Source: RefSeq, a predicted model, not a curated record
UACCGUUCAAAAUUGUCACAAAUAUUUUUUAUACUUGGAGAUUAAUCGCUGGUCGUUUCAUUUUGUUUCAAUUCUUGUAGGAACAUUGAUCGGAAUUAUUUCACCGGUCCCCUACCAGCAGUCGUCGGCAAUAUGUCUGCGUUGAUGAUAUUGUCAAUUGCCCAAAAUUCAUUCUCUGGACCUAUCCCCAAGGAGCUUGGAAACCUUAAGGACCUAACUA